CCUACGGGGGGCAGCAGUGGGGAAUAUUGGACAAUGGGCGAAAGCCUGAUCCAGCCAUGCCGCGUGUGUGAAGAAGGCCUUCGGGUUGUAAAGCACUUUCAGUGGGGAAGAAAGCCUUGGGGCUAAUACCCUCGAGGAAGGACAUCACCCACAGAAGAAGCACCGGCUAACUCCGUGCCAGCAGCCGCGGUAAUACGGAGGGUGCGAGCGUUAAUCGGAAUUACUGGGCGUAAAGCGCGCGUAGGCGGUCUGAUAAGCCGGUUGUGAAAGCCCCGGGCUCAACCUGGGAACGGCAUCCGGAACUGUCAGGCUAGAGUGCAGGAGAGGAAGGUAGAAUUCCCGGUGUAGCGGUGAAAUGCGUAGAGAUCGGGAGGAAUACCAGUGGCGAAGGCGGCCUUCUGGACUGACACUGACGCUGAGGUGCGAAAGCGUGGGUAGCAAACAGGAUUAGAUACCCGGGUAGU
Molecule: ribosomal RNA, 464 nt
Filed under: Vreelandella stevensii
Lineage: Bacteria; Pseudomonadati; Pseudomonadota; Gammaproteobacteria; Oceanospirillales; Halomonadaceae
Description: partial 16S ribosomal RNA
Rfam family: Bacterial small subunit ribosomal RNA
Source: RNAcentral